ACUGCAUGCGGCCAUGUUUUCUUUGUGUCGCACAAACAAUAAAUUGUGUAUUUUGAUAGCCUGAUAUUAUAGGUAUAGGCCAACAACCCGAGGUAGCACUAGCAUAGUAAUAAUUUGCUGCGUCAUAGUUCAUUCUGUACUGCUUAGGAUACAUAACUGGACUGCGGAAUUACCGCUUGGUCAUCAGAAUGCUCAGUGAAAGCAAUAUACGCUAUGAAGAUGUUUACAACAUCAAGUGCUCCAGAGAGGCUACCAAAAUUCAGCUACGUUCUUACACAUUCCGGAGACAGUUGAUAUAGCAGUCUCUGUAGCAAGCUUACUGCAAAUGAUGUGGAUUUUAAGGGUUGUUUGCUGACCUCAGUGCAAAUUAAGCCAUGCCCAAUUGGAUGCUGCAUUUUGAACAAGUCAGAACUACAUCAACUUGCUUAUGGCAACAGUCUUUUGAAGGCAAACUGUAAGCAACAAGCCUGGACUGAACAGGAGCGAGGCCAGAAGGGUUUCUGAAGAUAGGAGGCUUGGCAUCAUCAUCUCCUAGCCGUUUUCGGCUACAGCAACUGCUUUUCUACGACUGAGAGCGUUGCUGGUGCGCUCUCAGGUGACUGACGUAGUCAAUCUUUGCAGCAAAUGUGCGGCCACACUCGCUGCAGGUCAGCACCCAUCCGACGUAAUUAUACGUGAUGGCCACAGGUGGUCUGGCCUUUAGCUCGUCACUUGUGAAGGCCCUUCGCACAUCUGGGGUGCCUUACGACAACAACAACUUGAUCCUGUCCCACAUGUCCAAAAAAAAAACAUGGCCUGAAAUAUGGGCAAGCAGAAAAAUGAUCAUCCUGCUAUUAUCCUAUGGAACAUGAGAUGGGCGCUAAGAAUGGGUUGACCAUGACUAAAACCAGUGAAAGAAUGUUACUUUAACCAUUCAAGCUAAGGGAAAAUCAUAAGAAGAUUAAUUUGUUUUGGCUUUCAUAGAAAAAUAAUUAUUUUUAUAUGUGAAUCUACCUAUCUGUCUAUCUAUUAGCUCUUUUAUUCUGAGUUCUCUUAGCUCCUCAAGCUCUUUCCAUUAGGGUCUGUCGUGGGCCACUCUUCUCCAGUUCGGGCCUUUUGUGAGUUUGAGUUCAUCCUCCCGUCUUGUUUGAGGUCUACUCUGGCUGCGUGUGCAACCUUGGGUACAAUCUAUUACGAUUUUGCUCCAUUUUUCCUGCCUAUCUCUCAACAUGUGGCCAGUCCAUCUCCACUUCUGCUGCUGUGUGAAACAAAACAAAAUUUCCUUCACUGAAAACAAAUGGGGAAAGAAAAGUUUACAAAGUGAACACAAUGCUAAGAAAUGAAGAGAAUUUGCAUGAAACCAACGGAUUUACUUUAAUUAUAACAGUAACAGGGAAAAUGGUUGUUAAGUCUUGUCUGUCAUGUCACUAUUAAUGUGUUGUCUGCAGGUGCCUUUCCUUCACUA
This is a long non-coding RNA of Cydia fagiglandana, 1444 nucleotides long. RefSeq lists it as uncharacterized. The record is from RefSeq and is a predicted model, not a curated record. Lineage: Eukaryota; Metazoa; Arthropoda; Insecta; Lepidoptera; Tortricidae. The transcript is spliced from 3 exons.